UACACACACACACACACACACACACACACACACACACACACACCAUCCAAGAUCUAGAAUCCCCACUCAGGGACAGAGCACGCACACCUGAAGCCCGGGCGAAUAGCAUAUUACUCACCACCUUCAGAGUGACAUAGCCCAGCAGCCUCUGGACUACAUCCUCAUCCUCCUUGUGAGUCGGUGCUUCUGCUGCCAGAUGAGAGAGAAAAGUCAAGGCUCUUUGGGAAUCUGAAUGCCCUUGCUGCCCAUUUGCGGCAACAGGAUGCUGUGCUCAGCACUGUAACCAGCCAGAAGGACCCACCCUGCCCUCAGGGCACUUACACAGGAGCUUAGACACUGCCACUCAGUCAGAAAAAGAUUCCUUCCUCGAGGGCAGUGUGACAUUUCACUCCACAGCACCGAAGUCUCAAGUGGAAUGUGGCACGGGCUUGUUUUAAGGCCUUCUCCCAGGCCUUCUCCCAAGAGUGGGCGUGGGAAGUGAGCCGCGGCGGAGGGUCCGUGGGGGGGGACGCACAGAGACGGGCAGAAGAGCUUCCCGGAGGGGAGGAGACCCAGAAGGUGGCUUCCUGGGACCAUCUGACCAGGCAGUUCAGCGGACACCGUUCUGGAAUCUUCAAAACUCCCUUUCCUGUGCCUUCCAGAAGCUGCUAUGAGGGGGGAGUGAAGGGAGAGGUGGGCAUUUGCAGUGCUCUGUCCAGUCCCGGGGCACGAGCAGAGGCCCACGGCUUAGGGUCUUCACGAGGGUCCGUGCUGCCUCCGCGUGUUCCUGGCGCCAGGCUGCGCCACUUCAGCACCAAAGACAGCGCCAGAGGGCCCUCCCCGGGCCGCGGGACCUCUGCCUGUGGCUGGGGACGCUGGGGAGGUGGGAAGGUCUGAGUCAGCGUCCUUGGCAACUGUGCUGAGGACGGGAACACCGAGUCUUAGGGAGGAGCACCCGGGUCCCACUCGGACGCCUUGGGGUUUUCCCUCAGGAUAGGACUAACUUCCCUGAGAAGUCCUUCCUCAGCGGCUGGGGCACCGGUUUAGCCCUUCCUGCCCCAUUCUAUCAGAAAGAGGAGGAGACCUUGUGGCAUCUCUUCUCUCUCCCCAGAACUAAUCUCAUUCUUUUAGGUCUAGGUAGAAGGCAGGGAGCCCUGGCUCUCUGAUUUCCAUGUAGGAGCUAACUAAAUAACCCUCAAUUUCAGGGAAAACAUGGAGGGCAUGAAUUACAUUCCUUGCAGUACAUGGACCUUGGAUUUUUUUUUUCCUGUAUUGAGAAUUAAACCCAGGGUCUGGCACACACUAGGCAAGCCCUCUACCACUGAGCUGCAUCUCUGGGCCUUUUAAUUGUAUUUUGAGACAGGGUCUUGCCAAGUUGCCUAGAUGGGCCUGGGACUUGUGAUCCUCCUGUCUCAGCCUCCAGAGUUCUUGGGAUGACAGGUGUGUGCCACUGUGUCUGGCUUGUCAGGGACAUAUUAAAGUCAUGAUGGCUUAGUUCCAUGAUUUAGUUCCAAAUUCCAGUGGGAAUUUCAAGUUCAGGUGAAGGUGGAAGAUGGCCUCAAAGAAUUUCCAGGGCCUCAGAGAUGACAUGAAUUAUGCAAUAAAGACAAACUUGCUAUUCUACCUCUAUGAAA
This is a long non-coding RNA of Ictidomys tridecemlineatus (thirteen-lined ground squirrel), 1613 nucleotides long. RefSeq lists it as uncharacterized. The record is from RefSeq and is a predicted model, not a curated record. NCBI's taxonomy places the organism in Eukaryota, Metazoa, Chordata, Mammalia, Rodentia, Sciuridae.